RNAcentral lists this ribosomal RNA (539 nucleotides) under uncultured Duganella sp. Its description in RNAcentral is "bacterial SSU rRNA". It matches the Rfam family "Bacterial small subunit ribosomal RNA", at positions 84 to 619 of the family's 1533-position model. Lineage: Bacteria; Pseudomonadati; Pseudomonadota; Betaproteobacteria; Burkholderiales; Oxalobacteraceae. The record is from RNAcentral.
CCUGGCGGCGAGUGGCGAACGGGUGAGUAAUAUAUCGGAACGUACCCAAGAGUGGGGGAUAACGUAGCGAAAGUUACGCUAAUACCGCAUACGAUCUAAGGAUGAAAGCAGGGGACCGCAAGGCCUUGUGCUCCUGGAGCGGCCGAUAUCUGAUUAGCUAGUUGGUAGGGUAAAGGCCUACCAAGGCUACGAUCAGUAGCUGGUCUGAGAGGACGACCAGUCACACUGGAACUGAGACACGGUCCAGACUCCUACGGGAGGCAGCAGUGGGGAAUAUUGGACAAUGGGGGAAACCCUGAUCCAGCCAUGCCGCGUGUGUGAAGAAGGCCUUUUGGUUGUAAAGCACUUUAAGCAGUGAAGAAGACUCUUCGGUUAAUACCCGGAGACGAUGACAUUAGCUGCAGAAUAAGCACCGGCUAACUCUGUGCCAGCAGCCGCGGUAAUACAGAGGGUGCAAGCGUUAAUCGGAAUUACUGGGCGUAAAGGGAGCGUAGGUGGCUCGAUAAGUCAGAUGUGAAAUCCCCGGGCUCAACCUGGGA